GACGAACGCUGGCGGCGUGCUUAACACAUGCAAGUCGAACGGAAAGGCCCUGCUUUUGUGGGGUGCUCGAGUGGCGAACGGGUGAGUAACACGUGAGUAACCUGCCCUUGACUUUGGGAUAACUUCAGGAAACUGGGGCUAAUACCGGAUAGGAGCUCCUGCUGCAUGGUGGGGGUUGGAAAGUUUCGGCGGUUGGGGAUGGACUCGCGGCUUAUCAGCUUGUUGGUGGGGUAGUGGCUUACCAAGGCUUUGACGGGUAGCCGGCCUGAGAGGGUGACCGGCCACAUUGGGACUGAGAUACGGCCCAGACUCCUACGGGAGGCAGCAGUGGGGAAUAUUGCACAAUGGGCGGAAGCCUGAUGCAGCAAUGCCGCGUGCGGGAUGACGGCCUUCGGGUUGUAAACCGCUUUCGCCUGUGACGAAGCGUGAGUGACGGGAAUGGGUAAAGAGGCACCGGCUAACUACG
Molecule: ribosomal RNA, 466 nt
Filed under: uncultured bacterium
Lineage: Bacteria
Description: partial 16S ribosomal RNA
Rfam family: Bacterial small subunit ribosomal RNA
Source: RNAcentral